This is a long non-coding RNA of Adelges cooleyi (spruce gall adelgid), 375 nucleotides long. RefSeq lists it as uncharacterized. The record is from RefSeq and is a predicted model, not a curated record. NCBI's taxonomy places the organism in Eukaryota, Metazoa, Arthropoda, Insecta, Hemiptera, Adelgidae. The transcript is spliced from 3 exons.
CUCUCGACUUUAUUUUGACGUUACAUUCUUGGACACACCAUUAAUUUAAUAGGUUGAAUGCUUUUUUCCGAAAAUCUUUUAUCAUUUAAAAAUCAAUGUUAUCAUGUCAGAAAUAUCUAUGGCGUUGAGAAUAGGCUAUACCAAUUACUAUGGAAAUGUCUUUUCAAUUGGACCCAAGACUAAAGACCUUACAAUUUUAUAUCAAGGUGUAAAUUAUAAAUAUAAAGCAUUAAUUUAAUAGGUUGAAUGCUUUUUUACUGAAAAUAUUUCAUCUUUUAAAAACCAAUGUUAUCAUGUAAAAUUGGUUUUGAGUAUGACAUAUCAAUUGCUAUGGAAAUGUCUUUCCAAUCGGACCCAAGACCUUACAAUUAUAUA